GAGGAAGGCGAAGAACCAUACNUGGUGUUGCCAUCCAGAGAAUCCNGCAGAGAUGCGGGAGUGCCUUCGGGAACUCUGAGACAGGUGGUGCAUGGCUGUCGUCAGCUCGUGUUGUGAAAUGNUGGGUUAAGUCCCGCAACGAGCGCAACCCUUAUCCUUUGUUGCCAGCACGUGAUGGUGGGAACUCAAAGGAGACUGCCGGUGAUAAACCGGAGGAAGGUGGGGAUGACGUCAAGUCAUCAUGGCCCUUACGANCAGGGCUACACACGUGCUACAAUGGCGCAUACAAAGAGAAGCGACCUCGCGAGAGCAAGCGGACCUCAUAAAGUGCGUCGUAGUCCGGAUUGGAGUCUGCAACUCGACUCCAUGAAGUCGGAAUCGCUAGUAAUCGUGGAUCAGAAUGCCACGGUGAAUACGUUCCCGGGCCUUGUACACACCGCCCGUCACACCAUGGGAGUGGGUUGCAAAAGAAGUAGGUAGCUUAACCUUCGGGAGGGCGCUUACCCAACUCC
RNAcentral lists this ribosomal RNA (512 nucleotides) under Cronobacter sp. HPCKc-47. RNAcentral describes it as "bacterial SSU rRNA". It matches the Rfam family "Bacterial small subunit ribosomal RNA", at positions 954 to 1465 of the family's 1533-position model. The record is from RNAcentral. Lineage: Bacteria; Pseudomonadati; Pseudomonadota; Gammaproteobacteria; Enterobacterales; Enterobacteriaceae.